RNAcentral lists this ribosomal RNA (459 nucleotides) under uncultured bacterium. Its description in RNAcentral is "partial 16S ribosomal RNA". It matches the Rfam family "Bacterial small subunit ribosomal RNA", at positions 338 to 795 of the family's 1533-position model. The record is from RNAcentral.
CCUACGGGAGGCAGCAGUGAGGAAUAUUGGUCAAUGGCCGAGAGGCUGAACCAGCCAAGUCGCGUGAGGGAAGACGGCCCUACGGGUUGUAAACCUCUUUUGUCGGGGAGCAAAGCGAGUCACGUGUGACUCAUUGAGAGUACCCGAAGAAAAAGCAUCGGCUAACUCCGUGCCAGCAGCCGCGGUAAUACGGAGGAUGCGAGCGUUAUCCGGAUUUAUUGGGUUUAAAGGGUGCGCAGGCGGAGGUGCAAGUCAGCGGUAAAAUUGCGGGGCUCAACCCCGUACUGCCGUUGAAACUGCAUCCCUUGAGUGCGCGAGAAGUAUGCGGAAUGCGUGGUGUAGCGGUGAAAUGCAUAGAUAUCACGCAGAACUCCGAUUGCGAAGGCAGCAUACCGGCGCCCUACUGACGCUGAGGCACGAAAGUGUGGGGAUCGAACAGGAUUAGAUACCCGGGUAGUC